Molecule: ribosomal RNA, 383 nt
Filed under: uncultured bacterium
Lineage: Bacteria
Description: bacterial SSU rRNA
Rfam family: Bacterial small subunit ribosomal RNA
Source: RNAcentral
AACGAACGCUGGCGGCGUGCCUAACACAUGCAAGUCGAACGAGAAAGGGGCUUCGGCCCUGAGUAAAGUGGCGCACGGGUGAGUAACACGUAGGUAACCUACCUCUAAGUUUAGGACAACCUGUCGAAAGAUGAGCUAAUACUGAAUGAGACCACAGUUUCUUCGGAAGCAGAGGUCAAAGGUAGCCUCUAUUUAUAAGCUAUCACUUAGAGAUGGGCCUGCGUACCAUUAGCAGUUGGUGAGGUAACGGCUCACCAAGGCAAAGAUGGUUAGCUGGUCUGAGAGGAUGAUCAGCCACACUGGAACUGAGACACGGUCCAGACUCCUACGGGAGGCAGCAGUGGGGAAUAUUGCGCAAUGGGCGAAAGCCUGACGCAGCAACG